Erinaceus europaeus (western European hedgehog) is the source of this 334-nucleotide unclassified non-coding RNA. Its record names the gene 7SK. It matches the Rfam family "7SK RNA". From Rfam's summary of the family: 7SK was discovered as an abundant small nuclear RNA in the mid-70s but a possible function has only recently been suggested. The record is from Ensembl. NCBI's taxonomy places the organism in Eukaryota, Metazoa, Chordata, Mammalia, Eulipotyphla, Erinaceidae.
GGAUGUGAGGGCGAUCUGGCUGCGACAUCUGUCACCCCAUUGAUCACCAGGGUUGAUUCGGCUGAUCUGGCUGGCUAGGCAGGUGUCCCCUUCCUCCCUCACUGCUCCAUGUGCAUCCCUCCUGAAGCUGCGCGCUAGGUCGGAAAGGACGGCCUUCCCCGAAUAGAGACAGACCGGUUUUCAGUGUGUCAGUCGAGGGUAUAUGAGUAGCUGUGCUCCCCUGAUAGAACCUCCAAACAAGCUCUCAAGGUAUGGUUCUAGGAAGCAUUGGUAAUAUCAUCUGCCCAAGGAAGUCAGGAUUAUUUAUGCCAUUUUCCAUAGUGAAUAUACUAGU